Long non-coding RNA from Lynx canadensis (Canada lynx), 5029 nucleotides. The record is from Ensembl. NCBI's taxonomy places the organism in Eukaryota, Metazoa, Chordata, Mammalia, Carnivora, Felidae.
GGACUGCUCAAUUAAGGAGCAAGAAUCUACUUUGGGGUUGGGAAAUAACCUUGUAUGACAGUCCCAUACAGGGGUGAGUAGGUGGUAGGCAUCUCCUUUAUUGACAAGUCCUUCUCUCUUACCCAGAGAAAUGAAGGGAUGUGAGGUAGAAGGAGGAUGUGAGGACAGUAGUUGCUGUGAGUACAAGAAGAGUGAGUGUAGAUAGGUCAGGAGAAGAGAAUUUAUGACAUUAAGUAUUUGGGGCAAGGAAUUCUUAGAAAUAGGUACUUAGGAGGAAGGGGACCAUGGCCCACUCUCUGACCCCACUCUUCUUGACCUGUUUUCACAGGGAGCGUGAAUCUGAUGUGGACCUUCCUCCACCUUCUCUUCCUGGAGCAAACUCUUCACCCCAGGCCUGCUCUCCUCUACAAAACAUACAGACAACACCAGGUCCUGGGUCCCUGGAGGAUACCACCGAUACUGUGAGGUGAUGGUGAAGUGAUGGUGGCUGAUGCACAGGGGUAAAUGCAAGACGAUCAACACCUUCAUUCAUGAGGAUGUGGCCACGUUGGCAUAUUUCUGCAGAAUUCCACUUCUGCCCUCUACCAACAGCUGCUGCGUGCACAACGGUCACAAAGUGCGCACCAUGCCCAAAGACCCCUGAGAUCAAGAGUUGCAUGCUUUAUCCUUGGAGCCAUCCAGGUGCCCCUACACAAUCCAUUUCUGAAGGCAGUUUUUCUACCCACAAGAGGGAGAAUCUGUAGGUGACUUUCUUCUCUACCCUGUGACUCCACCAAAAUCGUGUCAAGGCUUUAAAUCAAAGGAAGGCACCUGACUCUAGGGCACCCAUCCACGGACUGACAGUCUGGGUGCCCAUGAAAGAAACUGGUCUGGAGAUUUUACUGUCCUGGAAUAAGGCUGACAAAACUGGAUACUCUUAUUUUCAUUUCCCCCCAUAAUUCCAGGAGCUGUGAUUGUAUUGUCUUUGUUUGUGACCUUUAGCACGUAGCCUAUUGCUUGCUAUAAGAGAGCUUUCAAUAAAUCUUUAAUGGGCCAUUGUAAUAGGUCCUGCUGGUGCUAAGGAUUUUUUGCAGAUUCUGUUUUCAGAAUGGGAAAGUUCCCUUCCCUUCUGCUCUCCGUUUCCACCUGUAAAUGGAUUGUGAAUUUUGUUGAAUAAUUUUUCUUCAUCUGAUGACACAGUCAUAUACUAUUUCCAUCCUAAUCAGUUAAUGGAGUGGAAUUGAAUAAAAUUUCUGGACAUAAGCAACUCCAUUUUGAAGCUCUAUUUUCCUUGUCAACUAAUGAACUCUUGGACUGGGCCAGAAGCCACAAUGGUUUUACAAGCAGUUCCUCAUAAAAUUUCAAAUGAGCAACUGGCAUUAGGAUCAUGUGAGGACAGGAAAGUUAAUUAAUACAUACCAGUGACCGUUUCAUUUGAUAGCACCAAUAAAGUAAUCAGUAAGAUAGUAAUCAGAAGCGGUUCAAUCAAUUAGCACCAAAUUACCUGUUUUUUUUCUUCCUUCUCUUAUCUAAAGCAUGUAAUUACCCCUUCCUUCUUUCUCAUAAAAAACCCCCAGCUUUCCCCACCUGAGGGGGCACUUUUCUGGUUACCCUUAAAUCUAGUCCCACAUUGUAACUCUGAGACCCCAAAUAAAAGCCUUUGCUCUUCUUCUUUUUCUUUUAAAAUUUAUUUAUUUAUUAUGAGAGAGAAAGAGAAAAAGAGAACGGGGUAGGGGCAAAGAGAGAGGAGAGAGAGAAUCUCAAGCAGGAUCUGCAUUGUCAGGGAAGAGCCUGAUUCCAGGCUCUAUCCCACAAACCACAAAAUCAUGACCUGAGCAGAAAUCAAGAGUCAGAUGUUCAGUGGACUGAGCCACCCAGGUGCCCCACCUUUGUUCUUUUUCACUUCUGCCUUCUUUUCUUGGUUAAUUCUGGGUGAAUUGCAUUAGUUGAUUUUAGACUAUUAAACCAGCUUUGAGAUAAAUCCAUUUUGGUUAUGCUAAACUGUCUUUUUAUAUAUAAAUGAAUUUACUUUGCUAAUAUUUAAGGAUUUUAUUUUGCAUUUAUGGUCAUGAAUGAAAUUGGUAUGUAUGUAUGUAUGUAUGUAUCAUUAUUAUUAUUAUUAUUUGUAUUAUCUUGUCUGAUUUUAGUAUCCAGGUUGUAUGUUAGCCUUCAGAAAUUAGUUGAAGAGUAUUCCUUCUUUUUCUAUUUCCUAUAAUUGGAAUUGUGUGUUAUUUUACUAUUUACAGAACUCAUCUGUAAGGCUGUCUGGUGCUGGCAUUUUCUAUAUGACUGUUUUUUAACUUAUGUUUCAAUCUCUUUAUAUUGUUAUGUAGAUACUGAGUUUUCUGUUCUUUUUUUUUUUUGAAGUUUAUUUAUUUAUUUUGAGAGACAGAGAGAGAGCGAGUUUGAGGCAGAGAGAGGGGGGUAGAGAGAGAAUCCCAAGUAGGCUCCACACUGUCAGUGUAGACCCUGACACGGGGCUCAAACUCAUGAACUGUGAGGUCAUGACCUGAGCGUAAAUCAAGAGUUGGAUGCUUAACUGAGCCAUCCAGGUGGCCCUCUAUUUCUUCUUGAGAUAGCUUUAUCAGGUUGUAUUUUUAUCUAGGAAUUUAUCCAUUUCAUCUAAAGAAUUUUAAAUAUAUCAGCAUAACCGGAUGAUGUAUGAAGUGAUUGUAUACCUGGAACUAAAGUUAUACUGUAUGUAAAUAAAAAAUUUUUAUUUUUAUUUUUAUUUUUUCAACGUUUAUUUAUUUUUGGGACAGAGAGAGACAGAGCAUGAACGGGGGAGGGGCAGAGAGAGAGGGAGACACAGAAUCGGAAACAGGCUCCAGGCUCUGAGCCAUCAGCCCAGAGCCUGACGCGGGGCUCGAACCCACGGACCGCGAGAUCGUGACCUGGCUGAAGUCGGACGCUUAACCGACUGCGCCACCCAGGCGCCCCAGAAAUUUUUAAAUAUAUAUAUCAACACAAAGCUAUUCAUAAGCUAUUUAAUAUUUGCAGCAUCUGUUUUUACAUCUUAUUUCUGUUAUGACAUUUUAUUUGUACCCUUUAUAUUGAUAAACUUAUGAGAUGUGUCUCUGUUAUUAGGCUUAUUAAACAAAUACUUUUUUUUUAAAGUAGGCUCCAUGGGCAUGGAGCUUGAACUAACAACCCUGAGAUCAAGACCUGGUGCUCAAUGGACUGAGUCAUGCAGGAGCCCCAAACAGUGACUUAAAAACAUUUUUUUUAAUGUUUAUUUCUGAGAGAGAGAGAGAGACAGAGAGUGAUCAGGGGGAGGGGCAGAGAGAGAGGGAGACACAGAGAAUUUGAAGCAGCUCCAGGCUCUGAGCUGUCAGCACAGAGCCCAACAUGGGGCUUGAACCCACAAACCAUGAGAUCAUGACCUGAGCCAAAGUCACCCGCUUUACUGACUGAGCCACCCAGGGACCCCCCCAAACGGUGACUUUUUCUUAAGGUUUAUUUAUUUUGAGAGAGAGAGAGAGAGAGAGAGAGAGAGAGAGAGAGAGAGAGAGAGAGAGAAUGAAUGAGUAGUGGAGGGGCAGAGAGAGAGGGAGAGAAAGAAUCCCAAGCAGGCUCCAUGCUGUCAGCCCAGAGCCUCAAGUGGGGCUCAAACUCAUGAACCAUGAGAUUAUGAACGGAGCUGAAACCAAGAGUCACACGCUUAACUGACUGAGCCAUCCAGGCGACACCCCCCUAAAUAAUGACUUUUUCAGACAUACCAAAGCUAAAAGAGUUCAUUGCCUGAAAGAAGUCUUUCAGAUAGAGAAAAAAUGACAGCAGGUGAAAAUAGGAAUCUACACAAGGAAUGAAAGACGAUGGAAAUUGUAGCUAUAUGACAAUAUGAACAAUUGCUGGGAAUAAUGCAUGGGAAUAGUUUGGAAAGUUUUGAUUUACAAUGCUAAACUAUGGGAUUUUGUUCUCCAUGAAGGAAUAUGCUUAUUUUCUAAAGGAAAACCUCUGAUAAUAUAAUUUUAUUUAGCCUUCCAAUAAGUGUCAAACACAGUAAACCUGUCUCCAAAUUAAAAAGAAAAGUCUUUACAAGAAUUUUAAGGAGAACAGAUCCCCACCCUGGUAAUCACAUGCACUUGAAACAGCUGUGGCAGAGGGAAGGCCGCCACCACUGAGGCAAAAUUUCAAAUACAGUUCUCAGUUCUCAGGCUGUUGUCCUGAGUAGGGAAAAUAACUGAAGUACUCCGCAAUAAGAGAAAGGAUAAAAAGUGAUGGCGGGGCGUCUGGCUGGCUCAGUCGGUUGAGCCGGUGGUUCUUGACCUCGGUCGUGAGUUUGUUCCUCAUGUUAGGUGUAGAGAUUACUUAAAUAAACAAACUAUGGAAAAAAAUAAAUGAAGGGAAUCUAGGAUGGAAAACAAUGCUGCCACUAUAAAAAACACCCUAGGAGAAAGCUUAUAGGAAAGGGAAAAUAUUCCCUAUAUAUUGUUAAGCAACAAACAAACAAAAGAACACAACAACAAAGAACACCAAAAGAAGAAAAGAAGAAAAGAAGAAAAAAAGCAGAACAUAAAAUAGUAUGUAUGCUAUCACACAUUUUAGUUUUAAAUUUAACCAGACACAAAAUAAUAGUUGGACAUUUGUGAAUAUGAAGAGUAUCUUCAACUGGUGAGAUUACAGCUAACUUGUUUUUGUUUUUUUAAGAUUUGUGAUUUUCUCAAAUUUCCUAAUGUUUCUGUAUUGAAAAUGUGUUACUUCUCUAAUAAGGAAAAAAAAUGAAGAUGUUAUUUAAAAUAUUGGCUCCUUAAAUCAGAGAUUCUGAGGUUUCUUUACAGACUCACCAAAACCCACUUCUUGCUGCAUUGGGGACUGCAUACUCAGCUAGACUUUUGGACUCCUCCUCCAGGUGGGUGAUACAUAUAGAGGAAGAAUGUUUGGAAUUCUAGAGUUGCUCAGAGGAUUUUUUGACUGCUUUUUAUGAGGCCAAUCCACUUCUCCCCAAGAACACUUCAAGAAAAAUGCAUCACCCCCUGGGUAACUGCAAUUUUCUCUUUGUUGUCUUUCAGAAGGCUGAUUGGUAAUACACAUCAUACAGGGAAUCCCU